This 878-nucleotide ribosomal RNA is filed under the name Bacillus pumilus. RNAcentral describes it as "bacterial SSU rRNA". It matches the Rfam family "Bacterial small subunit ribosomal RNA", at positions 327 to 1198 of the family's 1533-position model. The record is from RNAcentral. Lineage: Bacteria; Bacillati; Bacillota; Bacilli; Caryophanales; Bacillaceae.
CGGCCCAGACUCCUACGGGAGGCAGCAGUAGGGAAUCUUCCGCAAUGGACGAAAGUCUGACGGAGCAACGCCGCGUGAGUGAUGAAGGUUUUCGGAUCGUAAAGCUCUGUUGUUAGGGAAGAACAAGUGCGAGAGUAACUGCUCGCACCUUGACGGUACCUAACCAGAAAGCCACGGCUAACUACGUGCCAGCAGCCGCGGUAAUACGUAGGUGGCAAGCGUUGUCCGGAAUUAUUGGGCGUAAAGGGCUCGCAGGCGGUUUCUUAAGUCUGAUGUGAAAGCCCCCGGCUCAACCGGGGAGGGUCAUUGGAAACUGGGAAACUUGAGUGCAGAAGAGGAGAGUGGAAUUCCACGUGUAGCGGUGAAAUGCGUAGAGAUGUGGAGGAACACCAGUGGCGAAGGCGACUCUCUGGUCUGUAACUGACGCUGAGGAGCGAAAGCGUGGGGAGCGAACAGGAUUAGAUACCCUGGUAGUCCACGCCGUAAACGAUGAGUGCUAAGUGUUAGGGGGUUUCCGCCCCUUAGUGCUGCAGCUAACGCAUUAAGCACUCCGCCUGGGGAGUACGGUCGCAAGACUGAAACUCAAAGGAAUUGACGGGGGCCCGCACAAGCGGUGGAGCAUGUGGUUUAAUUCGAAGCAACGCGAAGAACCUUACCAGGUCUUGACAUCCUCUGACAACCCUAGAGAUAGGGCUUUCCCUUCGGGGACAGAGUGACAGGUGGUGCAUGGUUGUCGUCAGCUCGUGUCGUGAGAUGUUGGGUUAAGUCCCGCAACGAGCGCAACCCUUGAUCUUAGUUGCCAGCAUUCAGUUGGGCACUCUAAGGUGACUGCCGGUGACAAACCGGAGGAAGGUGGGGAUGACGUCAAAUCAUCAUGC